UUUAAUAUUGGGUAGGUGAUAAUUAUUAGUUUGGGGUUCAACACCAUCUUUGCAUACCACCUUCGAAACUCAACUUUCCGCCAAAAAAAAAAAAAGCAAAACUCUUUUACUCCCUGAUUUCUCGAAAUUUAGAAUGUCUCCUCGUUUCCAUUUUUAAGCUACUUAUUAGCACAUAUACAAUCACUCACAAUUUGAUUUCCAUACUUACAAAACUUGUAAAGAGCGAUAUAAACGACCUCCGCACACAAACCCCAUCGAACUCAUCUUUUCGCCGUAGUCGGAAUCUGACCGGAGUCAGUCGCAGUCACCGGAACCCAAACCUCCGCCGUUCGCCGCACUCAGAGUCGGGACGAGUAGUUCCGUCAAAAGCUAACCGGGUCUCGUACACUCGCCAGGGAAACAAUGUCGCCGGAACCGAAUGGAGAAACCCCGAAGCCGUCGGAGUAAACCGAGCUCGCCGGAAAGCAUGGUCGUUCACGCCAUUCUUCAUUUCGGGUGAUUGUGUCUUUUGGUGUUAUCUCUCUUUCGUUACUCGUGCGGAUUAACGGGCUUUAACGGAACGCAGAACUGUUGAUGAUGACGAUGCUAUGAAAAGAAGUAGCGUUGAUGCCUAGAUACACAUAUAGACGUUUAGGUUUAAUAUGUUGUAUCAAUUUUGCUUAUGUUAUGUACUUCUUUGAACUUGAUGUAUUUGAAUUUCUUGUAAUGUUGACAAUUUACUUUAUGAAAUGAAACUAGU
RNAcentral lists this long non-coding RNA (739 nucleotides) under Helianthus annuus (common sunflower). RNAcentral describes it as "hypothetical non coding rna". The record is from RNAcentral. Lineage: Eukaryota; Viridiplantae; Streptophyta; Magnoliopsida; Asterales; Asteraceae.